AGAAAGAUCUGAGUAGGUACCCUACA
Molecule: non-coding RNA, 26 nt
Filed under: Rattus norvegicus (Norway rat)
Lineage: Eukaryota; Metazoa; Chordata; Mammalia; Rodentia; Muridae
Source: RNAcentral